GAUGAACGCUGGCGGCGUGCCUAAUACAUGCAAGUCGAGCGAACGGACGAGAAGCUUGCUUUUCUGGUGUUAGCGGCGGACGGGUGAGUAACACGUGGAUAACCUACCUAUAAGACUGGGAUAACUUCGGGAAACCGGAGCUAAUACCGGAUAAUAUUUUGAACCGCAUGGUUCAAAAGUGAAAGACGGUCUUGCUGUCACCUAUAGAUGGAUCCGCGCUGCAUUAGCUAGUUGGUAAGGUAACGGCUUACCAAGGCAACGAUGCAUAGCCGACCUGAGAGGGUGAUCGGCCACACUGGAACUGAGACACGGUCCAGACUCCUACGGGAGGCAGCAGUAGGGAAUCUUCCGCAAUGGGCGAAAGCCUGACGGAGCAACGCCGCGUGAGUGAUGAAGGUCUUCGGAUCGUAAAACUCUGUUAUUAGGGAAGAACAUAUGUGUAAGUAACUGUGCACAUCUUGACGGUACCUAAUCAGAAAGCCACGGCUAACUACGUG
RNAcentral lists this ribosomal RNA (497 nucleotides) under uncultured bacterium. RNAcentral's name for it is "partial 16S ribosomal RNA". It matches the Rfam family "Bacterial small subunit ribosomal RNA", at positions 28 to 507 of the family's 1533-position model. The record is from RNAcentral.